Molecule: ribosomal RNA, 460 nt
Filed under: uncultured bacterium
Lineage: Bacteria
Description: partial 16S ribosomal RNA
Rfam family: Bacterial small subunit ribosomal RNA
Source: RNAcentral
CCUACGGGUGGCAGCAGUGAGGAAUAUUGGUCAAUGGACGAGAGUCUGAACCAGCCAAGUAGCGUGAAGGAUGACUGCCCUAUGGGUUGUAAACUUCUUUUAUAAAGGAAUAAAAUGAGGCACGUGUGCUUUUUUGCAUGUACUUUAUGAAUAAGGAUCGGCUAACUCCGUGCCAGCAGCCGCGGUAAUACGGAGGAUCCGAGCGUUAUCCGGAUUUAUUGGGUUUAAAGGGAGCGUAGAUGGGUUGUUAAGUCAGUUGUGAAAGUUUGCGGCUCAACCGUAAAAUUGCAGUUGAUACCGGCAGUCUUGAGUACAGUAGAGGUAGGCGGAAUUCGUGGUGUAGCGGUGAAAUGCUUAGAUAUCACGAAGAACCCCGAUUGCGAAGGCAGCUUGCUAAACUGUGACUGACAUUGAUGCUCGAAAGUGUGGGUAUCAAACAGGAUUAGAUACCCGAGUAGUC